Molecule: RNA transcript, 510 nt
Organism: Myripristis murdjan (pinecone soldierfish)
Lineage: Eukaryota; Metazoa; Chordata; Actinopteri; Holocentriformes; Holocentridae
Gene: rps28
Gene name: ribosomal protein S28
Exons: 5
Source: RefSeq, a predicted model, not a curated record
CUUAAUAAAAUUUGUCGCGAUUUAUAAAUUGAAGGAUUGCAGCUUCGAUAUAUAGCGGCCAUGCACCACGUGACUUCCUUUCCGGUCUAACCUGACAACAUGGACGCCAGCCGCGUGCAGCCGAUCAAGCUCGCAAGAGUCACCAAAGUGCUCGGAAGAACAGGCUCACAGGGACAAUGUACACAGGUCCGUGUUGAGUUCAUGGAUGACAGCAACCGCUCCAUCAUCAGGAACGUGAAGGGUCCCGUCAGAGAGGGAGACGUGCUCACACUGCUGGAGUCUGAGAGAGAGGCCAGGAGGCUGCGAUAGAUCAGUGGCUUUCGGUGAGGUACCAUGAAGGACAGAGUCUGAAGAUUUUUGUACCAAAGUGCCCAGUGAUGCUGUGAGGUGCCAAUCCAGAGCUCGCGGAGCACAAGACGACGUCAGUUCUCUUGCAAUGGCCUACAUCUCACAUCUCACUUAUGCUGAUGUUUUCAAAUAAAUUUGGUUAAUGAGAUGAGUUACGGGAAA